This 485-nucleotide ribosomal RNA is filed under the name uncultured bacterium. RNAcentral's name for it is "partial 16S ribosomal RNA". It matches the Rfam family "Bacterial small subunit ribosomal RNA", at positions 30 to 507 of the family's 1533-position model. The record is from RNAcentral.
AUUGAACGCUGGCGGCAGGCUUAACACAUGCAAGUCGAGCGGGGAAAGGUAGCUUGCUACCUGACCUAGCGGCGGACGGGUGAGUAAUGCUUAGGAAUCUGCCUAUUAGUGGGGGACAACAUCUCGAAAGGGAUGCUAAUACCGCAUACGUCCUACGGGCGAAAGCAGGGGACCUUCGGGCCUUGCGCUAAUAGAUGAGCCUAAGUCGGAUUAGCUAGUUGGUGGGGUAAAGGCCUACCAAGGCGACGAUCUGUAGCGGGUCUGAGAGGAUGAUCCGCCACACUGGGACUGAGACACGGCCCAGACUCCUACGGGAGGCAGCAGUGGGGGAUAUUGGGCCAUAGGGGGAACCCUGAUCCAGCCAUGCCGCGUGUGUGAAGAAGGCCUUUUGGUUGUAAAGCACUUUAAGCGAGGAGGAGGCUACCGAGAUUAAUACUCUUGGAUAGUGGACGUUACUCGCAGAAUAAGCACCGGCUAACUCUGUG